GACGAACGCUGGCGGCGCGCUUAACACAUGCAAGUCGAACGGAAAGGCCUGCUUUCCCUUGUGGAUUGCGGGUACUCGAGUGGCGAACGGGUGAGUAACACGUGAGUGAUCUGCCCCCAACUUGGGUAUAAGCCUGGGAAACUGGGUCUAAUUCCCGAUAGGGCUGCAGGGUGGUGCCUGUGGUGGAAAACGAUUUUCUAGUGGUUGGGGAUGAGCUCGCGGCCUAUCAGCUUGUUGGUGGGGUAAUGGCCUACCAAGGCGGCGACGGGUAGCCGGCCUGAGAGGGUGGACGGACACAUUGGGACUGAGAUACGGCCCAGACUCCUACGGGAGGCAGCAGUGGGGAAUAUUGCACAAUGGGCGGAAGCCUGAUGCAGCGACGCCGCGUGGGGGAUGACGGCCUUCGGGUUGUAAACUCCUUUCGACCGCGAGGAAGCCACCUGGUUGGAAGGGUGGUGACGGUAGUGGUAGAAGAAGCACCGGCUAACUACGUG
This 494-nucleotide ribosomal RNA is filed under the name uncultured bacterium. RNAcentral's name for it is "partial 16S ribosomal RNA". It matches the Rfam family "Bacterial small subunit ribosomal RNA", at positions 28 to 507 of the family's 1533-position model. The record is from RNAcentral.